Molecule: ribosomal RNA, 292 nt
Filed under: uncultured bacterium
Lineage: Bacteria
Description: partial 16S ribosomal RNA
Rfam family: Bacterial small subunit ribosomal RNA
Source: RNAcentral
GUGUCAGCAGCCGCGGUAAUACGAAGGUGGCGAGCGUUGUUCGGAUUUACUGGGCAUAAAGGGCGCGUAGGCGGUUCCGUAAGCAGCGUGUGAAAUCCCACAGCUCAACUGUGGAACUGCACGCUGGACUGCGGUUCUCGAGGACGGCAGGGGGGUGCGGAACUCUAGGUGUAGCGGUGAAAUGCGUAGAUAUCUAGAGGAACACCGGUGGCGAAAGCGACACCCUGGGCCGUCUCUGACGCUGAGGCGCGAAAGCGUGGGUAGCAAACAGGAUUAGAUACCCUCGUAGUCC